Molecule: long non-coding RNA, 254 nt
Organism: Culex quinquefasciatus (southern house mosquito)
Lineage: Eukaryota; Metazoa; Arthropoda; Insecta; Diptera; Culicidae
Exons: 3
Source: RefSeq, a predicted model, not a curated record
AAAAAUCUGCCGAGUCACCGAUCCGGAAAAGCAAAUUUGAAAUUGUCAAUCAUUUUGGGGACUUCUCCCACCGGGUUCGCUAACGGGACACAACCCAACGGAUGCGUUCGAUUGGGAGAGGACCCGGCGCCUGCUGCGGUCACUUUCGGCCGUGUUUGUUCCGGAUGGUGAGCUCGUCUCGCCUGGAGGCGAAAAUCGUUAGGGGCUAAUUUCACUAAGGAUUGUGCUUCUAGAUUACGCGAAUGUCUAUCCCA